GAAAUGCGAUAAGUAAUGUGAAUUACAGAAUUCAGUGAAUCAUCGAAUCUUUGAACGCACAUUGCGCCCGCCAUCACUCUGGCGGGCAUGCCUGUUCGAGCGUCAUUUCAACCCUCAGAACCCCUUGCGGGAUCUGGCGUUGGGGAUUGGCAUCCAGCCAGCCCCGAAAUCUAGUGGCGGUCCCUCCGCGACCUCCCCUGUGCAGUAGCGAUACCUCGCAGCGGGACAGCGGUCUGACCACGCCGUAAAACCCCCAACUUCUCAAGGUUGACCUCGAAUCAGGUAGGAAUACCCGCUGAACUUAAGC
Molecule: unclassified non-coding RNA, 307 nt
Filed under: plant metagenome
Description: partial contains 5.8S ribosomal RNA, internal transcribed spacer 2, and large subunit ribosomal RNA
Rfam family: 5.8S ribosomal RNA (bases 1-105)
Source: RNAcentral